UAGGGAAUCUUCGGCCAUGGACGAAAGUCUGACCGAGCAACGCCGCGUGAGUGAAGAAGGUUUUCGGAUCGUAAAACUCGGUUGUUAGAGAAGAACAAGGACGUUAGUAACUGAACGUCCCCUGACGGUAUCUAACCAGAAAGCCACGGCUAACUACGUGCCAGCAGCCGCGGUAAUACGUAGGUGGCAAGCGUUGUCCGGAUUUAUUGGGCGUAAAGCGAGCGCAGGCGGUUUCUUAAGUCUGAUGUGAAAGCCCCCGGCUCAACCGGGGAGGGUCAAUGGAAACUGGGAGACUUGAGUGCAGAAGAGUAGAGUGGAAUUCCAUGUGUAGCGGUUAAAUGCGUAGAUAUAUGGAGGAACACCAGUGGCGAAGGCGGCUCUCUGGUCUGUAACUGACGCUGAGGCUCGAAAGCGUGGGGAGCAAACAGC
This 429-nucleotide ribosomal RNA is filed under the name Gemmatimonadota bacterium. RNAcentral describes it as "Gemmatimonadetes bacterium partial 16S ribosomal RNA". It matches the Rfam family "Bacterial small subunit ribosomal RNA", at positions 355 to 776 of the family's 1533-position model. Lineage: Bacteria; Pseudomonadati; Gemmatimonadota. The record is from RNAcentral.